This is a long non-coding RNA of Hibiscus syriacus, 246 nucleotides long. RefSeq lists it as uncharacterized. The transcript is spliced from 3 exons. The record is from RefSeq and is a predicted model, not a curated record. Lineage: Eukaryota; Viridiplantae; Streptophyta; Magnoliopsida; Malvales; Malvaceae.
AAAUCCCUUAUUACAUGUCAUUUUUUGCUUCUGAAAAAAUUCAGUGGGGACUGCAUACUGAAAGUUCCUUACAGCGUGCAUAUAACACCAAACAAUCUUCUUCCAAAGAUUAAAGCUUUACUAAAUGAUAAAAUCGGGAUUAUUUCAAAGCUAGUUAUUGUCCUUUUAGUUGAGCAAAAUAAUGGACCAGGAUACCAGAUGGGCCCUUACAUCUGUCGCCUUCCUCGACAUGGGGAAAUUCAUAGU